RNAcentral lists this ribosomal RNA (484 nucleotides) under uncultured bacterium. RNAcentral's name for it is "partial 16S ribosomal RNA". It matches the Rfam family "Bacterial small subunit ribosomal RNA", at positions 30 to 507 of the family's 1533-position model. The record is from RNAcentral.
AUUGAACGCUAGCGGGAUGCUUUACACAUGCAAGUCGAACGGCAGCGCGGACUUCGGUCUGGCGGCGAGUGGCGAACGGGUGAGUAAUGUAUCGGAACGUGCCCAGUAGCGGGGGAUAACUACGCGAAAGCGUAGCUAAUACCGCAUACGCCCUACGGGGGAAAGCAGGGGAUCGUAAGACCUUGCACUAUUGGAGCGGCCGAUAUCGGAUUAGCUAGUUGGUGAGGUAACGGCUCACCAAGGCGACGAUCCGUAGCUGGUUUGUGAGGACGACCAGCCACACUGGGACUGAGACACGGCCCAGACUCCUACGGGAGGCAGCAGUGGGGAAUUUUGGACAAUGGGGGCAACCCUGAUCCAGCCAUCCCGCGUGUGCGAUGAAGGCCUUCGGGUUGUAAAGCACUUUUGGCAGGAAAGAAACGUCGCGGGCUAAUACCCCGUGGAACUGACGGUACCUGCAGAAUAAGCACCGGCUAACUACGUG